UGCUCCACGCGGGCCUUGGCCAGGCACAGAUAAGCCUGCAGGUGAGGCCGGGUCACCGUCAGUCGCAGCAGGCACAGCGCCACCAGCACCCAGAGUCGCAACGAGUCGAAGGCCGAGUCCGACAGCCUGUGAGGAGAAGGACUCACGCCCAGUCCCAGCCCUGCAUCUUCAGAAGUGGCUCCAAGUUCUGAGUCAGACUGGCCAGGCCUGGGGAAGACAAGGAAAGGGCGCGGCCUGGUGGAUCCCUGGGGUCUCAGCGCCCACUCUGUGCCCCUCCCAGAUGUCCUUUGCUCCCCAGUUGAUACAACAGGUAAAUGUCAAAUCACUGCGGCUGCUGAGUAGCGGACAGACUGGAGGGUGUGCCCGCAUGGAGAGCUGCAGCCACAGGUGACCAUCAGAGAUGGCCCAGCUCCAGGGUCUCCUCCCGCACCACCUGAACCAGCAUGGCCAGGAGCAGGAAGAGGAAGGCGAAGGUGAGGCAGACAGAGCGCUCGCCCCCGUCCUCCGCGCUGAAGUACAACCAGGUCACCGUCAGGAACACCUUGCUGGGUGUGGGGCUAAGGAGGUCUUGAACACCUGUAGCACCCCCGCACCCUCUGCCACCUCCUCCCAGCAGCCUCCCAGCCCCAGAGCACAAGCAUUGGUGUCUGGGUUUGGAGACUCAGGGAGCAGAGGAGUGAUCAAGGAGAGUGAGCCGUUCAUCAAGGCCAGGAUGCAAGGCCCAGGACUGCCCGCUCCUGCGGCAGCAGCAUGCAGUGUGCUGGUGGCAGGACACCUGGGCCAGGCCUCCAGCUUCGCCUCAUCACCCCACCUGUGACCAGUUAGAGAUGGCCACCAAGUCUGUCUUUUCAGGAGGUCCCACCACUCCGACCCACCUAGGCCCCGCCAGCUGCAUCCCCCAGCAUGCAGUUUUCCUGUUCUUCUGAGAAGCUAUCAGAUACACGAGGACUGCAUCUGUGAUCUGUCCUCAGAGAGACCCUUGGGGCUUUCAGGAACCAGUGUGAACUUCAAGAUGGGCUUCCCUUUCUGACAAGCCUAUUCCACAAGGACACUGUUUCCAGCUUUUGGUUCUGAGAGUCAUAGGUUUGCCUUGGCCCUCCAUGCAGCUGAAUAAAAAUAUUGCAGAGAGAGCUCUCUUUGCAUACCCUUGU
Manis pentadactyla (Chinese pangolin) is the source of this 1151-nucleotide long non-coding RNA. RefSeq lists it as uncharacterized. The record is from RefSeq and is a predicted model, not a curated record. NCBI's taxonomy places the organism in Eukaryota, Metazoa, Chordata, Mammalia, Pholidota, Manidae. The transcript has 4 exons.